GACAACCGUCGAAGGCAUUUUGUGCAAACUUUUUGGCCCUGCCCUGGCCUGGGACUGUGAAAGGGACCCAAAAAGUUGAAGAUAUGCGCGCCUUGUGGCCUGGUUUUGUGCGUUGCACCGACUACUGAGAAGUAUGGGCUGUUGAUAGUGCGCUUCGCCGAUGCGAGAUGCGGCAUAAAAAUAGAACACACACACAGCCACGGCCCCAUCCAUUGCUGCUGCCGGUCGAUGCGAUAGGGGUGUCAAUCGUCUGCUCGCCUGCCUACAACCGAGCACAUCCGGUCGGUCGGACGGUCACCAUCAACACUAGCGACAGCCGAGGAAAGUAGCAGAUGCUUUCGGUCUCUGCGUUACAUCGCUUUCAUGUUACAGUGUUUCACCCACUUCGUACGAGUUUGAGUCUCUCAGGCUCGUCAUCCUUGUCGUGUCGUGCACACCGUGUGGUGAUGAAUUUUUAAUUGAAAUAUCGAUUCUCUCACACUUUGGCCUGCAAGCCAGGGCCAGUCCGUGUUUGUCUCCGUUGUUUAGUUACUGGGCGUGAGGAAUAUGUGAUGCACAUGCGUAACUGCUUGCAGCAUUAGGUCAUGGAUGACGCACCUGCAGGCAGUUGAAGACAGUAACUGGGUUAUGGAAACUCUAGAAGCCGGAUAGCAUCACGAUUCUUCAACGCCAACAACGACUUAGAAGCUAAACCUUAAUCAUAUUCAUCUCGAAUGGUUGGCAUAGUUUCACGAUAAGCUAGACACCACCACAACCACCAGCAGCUCAAUCGACCCUUAUCACCCGGAUGGGACUUGGUAUCCCCGCUGGUGGAAGCUGUACGUUGCCUGGAACGUGUGUGCACAACACGUUCGAGCGAGCGAGCAAAAUAUGGCGCGCGCAUUCGCCCGAUAACCGAACGGUACCGGCGUGUAGGUUACGCAAACCCGUAGAAACAUGGAUGACGGCCUGUUUGACUGGAAUGCUGAAAGAACGGAGCUUACGUUCCAUCAUCACCACCACCGGUGGAAUGUUUCGCUCUCGGGCACAGAAGAAUACGGUUCCACACCGACCAAGACCGAGUGCUGCUAUCGAGGCCAAGCAGCAGAGGGACUGAGUAACGAAAUUAUGUAACGAUAUCAUUCCAUGCCAUGCCUGUCUGCAGCAGCAGCAGCUGUAGCUAGGAAUUGUAUUAAUGUUAUUCUACUCAAGAGCAGGACGCUGCUUCCGUCAAUAGUAAUAUCCAUCGAGGGAGCAAUUUGACGAAAGUUGACCAAAGGCAACGCACAUAUGCUGGUGUCAGUUUCGGGGGCUGGACAUUACUUUGAGUGCGUGACAAUUUUCACCAACAACAAACCGACCGACCUGUUGGUCUAAUCGGGACCACGGGAUGGACACACAGUGUGCGUACUGGAGCAAGAAAAUGAUUAUUUCUCGGCCCGUCAUCCUGGGCGGCAACCGAUCUUCAAUCACACGGCCAUCCUGCGUUGAUGAUGCCCUCGGGGCGUGUUGUCGUUGUCUUCGUCGUCGUCGUCGUCGUCGUCGUCGUCGCCGAUGACAGGGAGCUAUCGCACGCCACACACCACUUGCGGGCCCUCAAAUGAAGGGGUCUUCCUUCGUUAAGAAUGGCCCAGCACGAGGAGAGACAGGAAGAGGUUGGGUACUUGCAUGCAGGAGACGCCCGGGAUGGAAUGUCACGAUUUUGCUGACGGAUGAGUUGGCAUCUUCCGUUCCGUGCUGCUUUCUUGACAUAAGAAGCCAUACCGCAGAAGAACCUCGGAAGGUGGUAAGAGGACCCCCGACUGUUGCAUGAAACUAAUGAAGUAUCUUUUUCGCCCCCGGACCUAGGACCUGGACCCCAGAAGGAGUGAAGAAGUCCCGUGUUGAUCGUGUUGAUAGGUAUCAGAUCAGAGCCGACCGGAGUUACCGCUGCUGCUGCUGCUGUUGCUGCUGGGAUGAUUAUUGCCGCUUUGGCCGCGCAAUGCCGGGUCGAUAUGCGUGGUGAACUCUUGCGCGAUGUGCGCGAUCCCGUUGCUUCGCGACAUGCUUAGCGUUUAGUGAUGGAAAUUUUAGAGAAUUGAGUCACAGACGGCGGCCACAUCACCGAUGGACACCAAGUGAUCAUUGCCGGAGCAUGGUUUCGUUGCCCGUCAGACCGACACCGGAGACCGAUUCGGCUCGGAGUUCAAUGGCCCGCCGUGAGGAAAUGAUGCCCCGAGGGCAUCACAGAAGACGAACCACCCCACCAGGAGGGGGUGAGAUGGGUUGAUCCCAUCCCUUCAAACGGUGCCAGCAUCUUUACCGGAGGAGCAAUGAAGAUGAAGAAGAAAAAGAAGGGAUUUUUACAGGGUCUCGGGCUUUUCCUUUUCUUCUUCCGCGCGCCGUUCAAACCCGCUUCGUCCACGCUUCGCUACAAGCACAUCACCAGCGCACACCGAGACCGAGAGGUUGUGGCCGGUUGCUUCUGGCUUCUUGGCGUGAUGAAAAAGACUUGGCACAAAUCGCUCACCCGUUCGCUCGCUCGCUCGCUCGCUCGGAUUGUCUGGAUGGAUUUCAUUUGCCCGCAGGCCGUCAACCAACUGACGUGUGCGCACGCUGGCUCUGGUGCGCUUUGGGAGUUGAGGCGCUUCUUCCUCUCGUUCUUUGCUUGCUGGUGGAGAUCAUCUUCACACUGAGCGGCCAAGGGCUGUGGAGCGGCUGUGUCUCUCGAGCUCCAUCCUUUGAAGGCGGCAGUAACGUCCGUAACGGACGCGGCGGGAGUGUUGGCGAAGUUCACAAAGCUUAUCGACACGACGGCUGCCGACGUGCAUUGGUUCGAUUUCAAUUUGCUCAGUUCCAACGCUCCGUAAUAAGCUGCUUCGGCUCAAGGGACCGAAACAUUGGGUCUGCCUGGCUGGCCGUACCAAGCAGUUGGUUCGACGUGCCGGUCGUGCGAUCUGGAUUAGAGGGAGUUGGUGCGCCCAGGUGGCGUGUUAUGUGGCUUGCUCCACUCCCGUCGAGGGUGGGCCACUGAUCUAAUAAUCUCAACCCUCAAAACGGCGACGAGCCGACGUUUUGUUCUGCAACGCGGAACCGUUGGCGUUCGGUUUGUUGUCAAAGUCUGGCUUGGAGUUACUUAUCGGCAUCAGCAGCAUCAUAAAUCACGUAGAGGCACACGAGCAGAGAGUAGAGGCGCCACGAAUCCACUACAAAACUGUGUCACACCAUCACGCGUGACCUGUUGUUACGUGCACCAGUAACUUCCGCGGGAGCACACAGUGUUCCCGGUGGUUCGUAUUUGUUGUUGCUGUCAAGCAGUCAGUAGUAGCAGCAGCAUAAGUAGUUGCUUCACUAGCUGCCAGAGUUCCUUCUGAGCGAUUCUCUUCGGUUCGGUCGCGCUCAAAUCCACCGUUCUGCUUCUCGCCUCUUGCGGAGAAAGCGACAAUUUCGUUCCUUGGGGUGUUGUUUCGGUUGGAAAAAAGUACUGUUACCUGCCAUCCAUCCGCGGGACACAUUGCCUAUCACCGAGAUACAAUCCUCGGCGAGGGCAAGCGGCGGCGACGGACGGGCGUGCUGAAUGCAACAUAAAACCGAAACGAACGAAACCAACCGGGCGGCCUCCGAAAGGCGGUCAAAUACAUUUUUAUGCGGCUGCUCCACCGCACGACGAUCGCCACUAGUGCGAGAUAUCAUCCUCCGUGGAGGGGGCGGGGGAUUUAGGGCGGGAGGUGAGCAUUUCAAUGGGUCGUAAAAAUAUGACUGGAAUUGAUAAGUGUGUUGUGUUGGGUGAGUAAACCAUUGCCUCCACGACGGGGCCGUGUCAAACAAACACGACCGUCUUCGUCCAUUUCAUUACGGUAUUGUUUAUGAGCUCUCUGGUGCUCUGUACUUUCGAACCCGGUGCCGGUGCCGGUGCCGUUGGUAUGUUCGAGAUGGUGAAGCCAAUACUGGGCGCGCGAGAUGACCUAAUGCGGGGUUUGCCGAAGGUGGUUCUAAGGUCUCGGAUGCGCCCAUCUUCCGGAUUAUCAUUUCCCUCGACCCGGGCAUAGAAUCAUUCGAAGCUAUUCUUAAAGGCAUCCAUUUGCGCUCUCUUCGCGUCUCGUGUGGCUUUCGCAGGUUCGCAACAGCAUAAGAAGGUGCUUCAUCUUCUCGUAACUCGUCAAGAUCGCUCUGUUCGAAAAUCAUGCUCCAUAAUUGCCUUCCAACCUGCGGGUGGGGCUGGUGUGUUGUUGUUGUGUGUUGUGUGCUGAGAAGUCAUUAUUGCCGCCUCAUUCCUGUUGUUGCUAGGUACUGGUCGGCUCCGUAAUUUUGCUUCGUCUGGAAAGAAGUUGUUAGAACAUCAUCCGUUGUGAGAAAAAUGGUAUUUUGCUCACUUAUUGCCGCUGCUCAGUCCGGACUCCGUCCAUUCUAGUUUUGUUUGGGAUGGUUGGCGAUGGGGGAAUAGAAGAAUAAGAAGAAACUAGCUUGCCCUUCUAGCUAGUUGCUGUUCGGAGGAAGGGAAUUUUCGUUUGCCGAUCGAUUGCGAAUCGUUUUCUGCCGCUAAUUUACUCUGGAGUUGGAAAUUUGAAGCGGAUCCGGAUGGUAGUUGUGCAGUCCGAAUAGUGGUUGUUAAUGUGUUACAUUAACCACUCUUAAUGAGUGUUUCAACAGCGUUCUGGUCAAUGUUUCAUGUAUAUUUAAGCUUAUUGCCUCUAGGGACUUUACGUCAAAUGAACUUGCAUAAUCUUGUCCUCGUAUUUCGUCAAAACAAAUAUAUACAAAGUUCCUCCAGGGGUUUACUGAUUCUACAGAUACAACUUCACUUUUUACUUCUCUCGAGUUACGUCAUUUGUUAUAAACUUUAUUAUGCUAUUCAUUGGUCCAUACCAUAAUCUAUUCGCAAGGAAUUAGAACGUAUAAAAGCAUUUAAUUAAAGGCAUUAAAACAAAUUGGCCGAAGUUACUCACUGCGAAAAUAUUCUAAUCGAGUUUUCUAUUU
This is a long non-coding RNA of Anopheles darlingi, 4935 nucleotides long. RefSeq lists it as uncharacterized. NCBI's taxonomy places the organism in Eukaryota, Metazoa, Arthropoda, Insecta, Diptera, Culicidae. The record is from RefSeq and is a predicted model, not a curated record. The transcript has 3 exons.